UAUGUGAUCGUCUCUCGCAUAUCAAUAAGCGGAGGAAAAGAAACUAACAAGGAUUCCCCUAGUAACGGCGAGUGAAGCGGGAAGAGCUCAAAUUUGAAAUCUUAAAGGGUUUCCCUUUACGAAUUGUAGUUUAAAGAAGUGUUUUCUGUUGAGGUUUUGGUAAAAGUUCUUUGGAAUAGGACAUCAUAGAGGGUGAGAAUCCCGUAUUUGACCUUUACUUUCAACUUUGUGAUACACUUUCAAAGAGUCGGAUUGUUUGGGAAUGCAGUCCAAAAUGGGUGGUAAAUUUCAUCUAAAGCUAAAUAUUGGCGAGAGACCGAUAGCGAACAAGUACCGUGAGGGAAAGAUGAAAAGAACUUUGAAAAGAGAGUUAAACAGUACGUGAAAUUGUCAAAAGGGAAGCGUUUGACACCAGUGUUGUUUUUCUGAAAAUCAAUUAAAGAACUGUUUAUGCUAAGCUGUUUAGACUUUAUCAGCUAACUGUUUAGUUUUGAGCUUUUCUUUAAUGCACUUUUCAGUUAACAAGUCAACAUCAAUUUCUUUUGCUGUAAAAAAGCUUGAGGAAGGUGGCUUGAGAUUCGUCUUAAGUGUUUAUAGCCUCUUGCCUAUGCAGUCGGAGAGAUUGAGGUCUGCAGCGUAGAUCCUUCGGGGCUAAAUGCAUUUGUGCUAAGUUAUAGCAUUUUAUAGACAACUUGUUGACUAUGAUUUGUCUUGUAGCUUACUCGCUUAUGUUAUUUUACCUACGCUUAGGAUGUUGACGCGCGUGUGUGCGUG
RNAcentral lists this ribosomal RNA (774 nucleotides) under uncultured Neocallimastigales. RNAcentral's name for it is "partial large subunit ribosomal RNA". It matches the Rfam family "Eukaryotic large subunit ribosomal RNA", at positions 24 to 639 of the family's 3401-position model. The record is from RNAcentral. Lineage: Eukaryota; Fungi; Neocallimastigomycota; Neocallimastigomycetes; Neocallimastigales.